GGGUCCUACGGGACGCAGCAGUAGGGAAUUUUCGUCAAUGGGCGCAAGCCUGAACGAGCGAUGCCGCGUGAGUGAAGAAGGCCUUCGGGUCGUAAAGCUCUGUUGCGGGGGAAAAAAGGCAGCAUCAGGAAAUGGGUGCUGACUGAUGGUGACCCGCCAGAAAGUCACGGCUAACUACGUGCCAGCAGACGCGGUAAUACGAAGGUGGCGAGCGUUAUACGGAAUGAUUGGGCGUAAAGGGUGCGCAGGCG
This 251-nucleotide ribosomal RNA is filed under the name uncultured bacterium. RNAcentral's name for it is "partial 16S ribosomal RNA". It matches the Rfam family "Bacterial small subunit ribosomal RNA", at positions 334 to 577 of the family's 1533-position model. The record is from RNAcentral.